Molecule: ribosomal RNA, 439 nt
Filed under: uncultured Sphingobacteriales bacterium
Lineage: Bacteria; Pseudomonadati; Bacteroidota; Sphingobacteriia; Sphingobacteriales
Description: bacterial SSU rRNA
Rfam family: Bacterial small subunit ribosomal RNA
Source: RNAcentral
AUGUGGUUUAAUUCGAUGAUACGCGAGGAACCUUACCUGGGCUCAAAUGUAUGUUGACGUAUUCUGAAAGGGAUACUUCUUCGGACAAUAUACAAGGUGCUGCAUGGUUGUCGUCAGCUCGUGCCGUGAGGUGUCGGGUUAAGUCCCAUAACGAGCGCAACCCCUAUCAUUAGUUGCCAUCAGGUCAAGCUGGGGACUCUAAUGAAACUGCCUACGCAAGUAGUGAGGAAGGUGGGGAUGACGUCAAAUCAGCACGGCCCUUACGUCCAGGGCUACACACGUGCUACAAUGGCCGGUACAAAGGGCAGCUACCUGGUGACAGGAUGCUAAUCUCAAAAGCCGGUCUCAGUUCGGAUCGGAGUCUGCAACCCGACUCCGUGAAGUUGGAAUCGCUAGUAAUCGUGGAUCAGCAUGCCACGGUGAAUACGUUCCCGGCCUU